UACGUAGGGACCGAGCGUUGUCCUGAUUCAUUGGGCGUAAAGAGCUCGUAGGCGGCCACUCAAGUCGAAUGUGAAACCUCGAGGCUUAACCUCGAGCCUGCAUUCGAUACUGGGUGGCUAGAGUCUGGUAGGGGGAUCUGGAAUUCCUGGUGUAGCGGUGGAAUGCGCAGAUAUCAGGAGGAACACCGGUGGCGAAGGCGGGAUCCUGGGCCAGUACUGACGCUGAGGAGCGAAAGCGUGGGGAGCAAACAGG
RNAcentral lists this ribosomal RNA (253 nucleotides) under uncultured bacterium. Its description in RNAcentral is "partial 16S ribosomal RNA". It matches the Rfam family "Bacterial small subunit ribosomal RNA", at positions 524 to 776 of the family's 1533-position model. The record is from RNAcentral.